UUUGUUCUUCCCUAUGAUAAUAGUUGCAGAUCUUAGCAGUGUGUUACUCAGUCCCAUUUGUCCAUCCCUUUCUGUAGUUAUCCACAUAUUAGCAAAUCCAUCAAUGUUCUGCCUGAUGUGUUGCUAACUCAAGGGUGCAAAACCCCCCAUUUCAUAGGAACUGCUGAACUGGACACCCCCGAUAGGAUGAGUAUGAGGCAUGAAUAGCUCUCAAUUUAUUCUUCUUGAUCACUUACAGGGCUUACAGUUCACUUUAUUAUCAUUAUAAAUGGGUUUGUGUAAAAACCUCUGUGUAUUGCUCUUUUGGCCUUUUGACAGAAGGCAGGUUAAUUGAAGGAGCUCAAUCUCUACACCUGCCAUUGACCUGUGGAAUGAUGGAGGUCAAAGGACAUGGCCUCUUAGCUUCUGACAUCACAGUGUGUCCUCAGCAUGACAACAGCCAGCCAGGUCGUCCUUCCAUCCCGUCUGCUUUUCGGGUGUCAUAGCAAUUGCCUUCCACAGCAUUGGAAAAGAAAACUGAACCCUAACUGCCUGAAAAAGUGAUGCCUUUGUUCCCCAUAUUGUGACCAAUUAUUUUCACAAAAUAAAUGGUUCCGGAAGGGCACGAUACAUUGAAGAAUCAGACUUGUGUGUUAGUCUUGUGUUUGUUUGGUUUUUUUGAAAUUGCUUCAUCAGAAAUGAGCAAGUAGGCUUGAGGAGAGACGCACCAUAAGCUUUAAACACUGACACUAAGUAGACUGAAACCCUGCCCUUAACUCCAAAUCAGAGUAAAACGAGUAAGUCUCAAGGGAAUGGUAUUUACUCCUCAGUCAGUGGUAGGCAGAUUAGAAGAUAGGAAUUGAGGGAGAAUGGGAGCUAAUCAAUGGAAUUUUAUUAUCUUUGGAGGAGUUGGAGGAUACUGUUAAUUAUUUUUUGCUUUAGGCUAAGAAAACUGUAAUUGGGACCGGUGUGUAUUAAAACGUAAAGUUAGAAAAGCGGUUGAGAAAUCAGAAUGUGUUCUAUCUACGCAUUUUAUUAAACCCCACAUUUGGCUUAAACAUUCUUAAGGCUUUGGGUUCUUCCUUUGAAAGUUUAAAAGAUGGAGUUGAUUUAGGGUUUUUAAAAAAAAAUCAGUGCAUAAAAGCUAUUAAUUAGGUCUGAGUUACUAAAUGAGCAGUCAUGGUUCAGGAGAGUGAAGCUUGGAAAUACUGAGCCUCGUUCCUCGCUCUCCUGAUUUUGGAGAGCCACGCCGUGCAGCGUCUGCAGAACCAGCCUGCUGGAAGAGUUUGGAAAAGUGAGAGUAACUGUUCACACAGAAAGGGAGA
Vicugna pacos (alpaca) is the source of this 1304-nucleotide non-coding RNA. The record is from RefSeq and is a predicted model, not a curated record. NCBI's taxonomy places the organism in Eukaryota, Metazoa, Chordata, Mammalia, Artiodactyla, Camelidae.